AGUGUCGCUCUUGGCUCCGCCCUCGGCAUUUCAUUGCUUCCCCUGUCCUUCCUUUAGCUGUAACUCCGGCGGGCGUGUUGGGUGUGUCGUUUUAGGCUCUGUGACCCAGGAGCAAGACGCAAUAAGCGGGUGCAGUGGAGGUAGAAACGGGAAAUGCAGUACCCUUUCCGGAAGCUACUCCGCCCCUCGGUGAGUGUUAGAUUCCCCCCCCGAACUACAAUUCCCAGAAUGCUGUUCGAGCAUGCCCGAAGGCGGAACCAGAGUGUCGCCAUGCAACUGUUCCUUGGUUGUUUCCGAUUGGUUGCCCGGACUUCUCGCGGCUAAACUAAUUUUGGCUCCAAGGCGGCGUGAAGAGUGUGAUUCUGUUCAGCGACCGUGAUUCUGUUCAGCGACCAUGAUGUUGAGCCCCUAAUUGAGAGUCUGUUACCACUAUUAAUAGCUACUCUGUUCGGGCCCUACACAUAACGGUGUAUCUAAACCUCUCUACAAUUUUAUGGACAGAGUCUUGCUGUGUCGCCCAAGCUAGAGUGCAGUGGUGUCAUCUGGGCUCAUUGCAACCUCCGCUUCCUGGAUUCAAGCAAUUCUCAUGCCACAGCCUCCCAAGUAGCUGGGACUACAGGAACCUGUGGUGAUAAGGAAGAUGUGAGCCUGGAGAUACAGAAGCUACCACAUGAAUGUUAAAAAUGAAGCUGACGCAGCAAAAGGCAGUGCCAAGGAACUAAAAGAAAACAAAUUUUGAUUACAUUUUUGGAGUUCCUGGGUCAAGCAGUUCAUGACACUGAGGCUUUUCCGCUACAUGAAUAAGUACUUUUUCUUUCCCGUUAAAGUGGGUUUGUGCUGGCUUCUCUAUCACUCACAACAACUGGAUACUAACUGAGGCAACACUUCCUACCUCUUACACACAUUACACCCAUAAAACAGAAACAACAUCUAAAAUUAGAUUUCAACACAGCUACCAAGCAGAAAAGUUCAAAUCAACAAGUUAUGGAUAAUGUUUUAUUGAAACUACAUUUCUCCUCCCAAUGUCUGUGGGUCAGCUGGGAUAACUCUGCUUCAGACUGUGGGUCAUCUUGGCUUGGCAGACUUUAGGUUAAACAUAAGACUGUGUGUCUCAUUCUGGGGCCCAGACUGAAGGGAUAGCAGCUAGCUGGUGCAUGCUGUCUUCGUGGCAAUCACAGGGGUGCGAGAGGCGGAGCUGAAGGACGCAAGCACAUUUAAGUCUUUUGCGUGUGUCAUGUUCAAUGACAUUCCAUGUCCAGAGCCAGCUACAUGGGUGGAUCAUGAAUAGAGGGGAGAAAUACACCCCACCCACUUCAGUGAGCUUUAGGUUUACAUGACUGAGGGAUGGAGGGAAGAAUUUUGGACAAUAAUCUCAUCUAGUACAUAUGGCUUCAAUUUGUAUGAACCCUAUCUCUACUCCUCCAACCUUCUGAUCUCAACUGCUAUUGCUAAUAUGACCUGUGGGAGCGAGAGGACUUUCUAUAACUAGGCUGAAUUUUAAAGGAAGAGAAUGACUUCCAGAUAGCUUAUUGGCUAUCAAUCUAGGAGCUCUUACAGCUGAGAAACAUUUUGACCCAACCCUCUGGCUUCUUUGUUGAUUUAUUUUUCUGAUAAAAUUCAUUUUUUUAAAUAUUAAGCUUUAAGAAGUACAUGUGUUUUAAUGCAGUAAAAAAUAAAGCAUAUAUGAUUCAAUCAUUUGUAAAUAUACAGUAUAACUAGUAAGAAAUAAGGGGUCUCAUUCACACCCAGAUUUAUAGGAGCCAGCACUAUGUGCUCGGUAUAUAAUAGAAGCUCAGUUAGUAUUUGUUGAUUGAAGUACCUUUUCUUAUUUACUAAUGAUUAUUAUUAACAGAUAAUAAUUUGGGCCUGAAAUAGACAUUUCCUUUUUUAAUAUAAUUAUAUAUAUGUGCAUAUAUAUAUCAUCAAUAUCCUCUGACUUUAUUAGUGACUGUUAACCACGUCGAAAAAAGUAAAGGUGUUUAUUAUGCAUGCAUAGAAAAAUGAUAUGUUUGUGUUCGCUCUUUUUAGGACCAAGAAAAAAUUAUUGGUUGCUGUUUUCUCAGUUUUGGUUUUUUUUAAAAUAAAUUUUACUGUGUGUA
Molecule: long non-coding RNA, 2099 nt
Filed under: Homo sapiens (human)
Lineage: Eukaryota; Metazoa; Chordata; Mammalia; Primates; Hominidae
Description: CCDC28A antisense RNA 1, transcript variant 2 (CCDC28A-AS1)
Source: RNAcentral